CCACUAUAAGACUGGGAUAACUUCGGGAAACCGGAGCUAAUACCGGAUAAUAUAUUGAACCGCAUGGUUCAAUAGUGAAAGACGGUUUUGCUGUCACUUAUAGAUGGAUCCGCGUCGCAUUAGCUAGUUGGUAGGGUAACGGCUUACCAAGGCAACGAUGCGUAGCCGACCUGAGAGGGUGAUCGGCCACACUGGAACUGAGACACGGUCCAG
RNAcentral lists this ribosomal RNA (213 nucleotides) under uncultured Staphylococcus sp. RNAcentral's name for it is "partial 16S ribosomal RNA". It matches the Rfam family "Bacterial small subunit ribosomal RNA", at positions 127 to 334 of the family's 1533-position model. The record is from RNAcentral. Lineage: Bacteria; Bacillati; Bacillota; Bacilli; Caryophanales; Staphylococcaceae.